This 376-nucleotide ribosomal RNA is filed under the name uncultured organism. Its description in RNAcentral is "partial 16S ribosomal RNA". It matches the Rfam family "Bacterial small subunit ribosomal RNA", at positions 527 to 896 of the family's 1533-position model. The record is from RNAcentral.
GUAGGUGGCAAGCGUUGUCCGGAAUUAUUGGGCGUAAAGCGCGCGCAGGCGGUCCUUUAAGUCUGAUGUGAAACGCCCACGGCUCAACCGUGGAGGGUCAUUGGAAACUGGGGGACUUGAGUACAGAAGAGGAAAGCGGAAUUCCACGUGUAGCGGUGAAAUGCGUAGAGAUGUGGAGGAACACCAGUGGCGAAGGCGGCUUUCUGGUCUGUAACUGACGCUGAGGCGCGAAAGCGUGGGGAGCAAACAGGGAUUAGAUACCCUGGUAGUCCACGCCGUAAACGAUGAGUGCUAAGUGUUAGGGGGUUUCCCGCCCCCUUAGUGCUGCAGCUAACGCAUUAAGCACUCCGCCUGGGGAGUACGGCCCGCAAGGCUG